RNAcentral lists this ribosomal RNA (374 nucleotides) under uncultured Halanaerobium sp. Its description in RNAcentral is "bacterial SSU rRNA". It matches the Rfam family "Bacterial small subunit ribosomal RNA", at positions 49 to 390 of the family's 1533-position model. The record is from RNAcentral. Lineage: Bacteria; Bacillati; Bacillota; Clostridia; Halanaerobiales; Halanaerobiaceae.
UAACACAUGCAAGUCGAACGGUCUACCUCGACUGAAACCUUCGGGUUGAUGACGAGAUCUAGAUAGUGGCGGACGGGUGAGUAACACGUGAAUAAUCUGUCCUCAAGUCUGGGAUAACCUGGCGAAAGUCGGGCUAAUCCGAGGUAAGCUGAGAGUGUGGCAUCACACAAUCAGAAAAGGUGGCUUUGCCAUCGUUUGAGGAGGAGUUCGCGGUAGAUUAGCUAGCUGGUGAGGUAAUGGCUCACCAGGGCAACAAUCUAUAGCUGGUCUGAGAGGACGAUCAGUCACACUGGAACUGAGACACGGUCCAGACUCCUACGGGAGGCAGCAGUGGGGAAUCUUCCACAAUGGGCGAAACGCCCGCCGCGCCCCGC